GANUAAUCGUGAAACCGCGAAUGGCUCAUUAUAACAGCUAUAAUUUACUUGAUCUUGACACAAUCCUACUUGGAUAACUGUGGUAAUUCUAGAGCUAAUACAUGCAUUAAAGCUCUGACCUCACGGGAAGAGUGCAUUUAUUAGAACAAAACCAAGCGGCUUCGGCUGUUUCUGGUUGACUCAUAGUAACUGAGCUGAUCGCAUGGUCUUGCACCGGCGACGUGUCUUUCAAGUAUCUGCCGUAUCAACUUUCGAUGGUAGUGUAUCUGACUACCAUGGUGAUCACGCGUAACGGAGAAUAAGGGUUCGGCUCCGGAGAGUUCGCCUGAGAAAUCGCGAACACAUCUAAGGAAGGCAGCAGGCGCGAAAAUUACCCACUCUCAGCACGAGGAGGUAGUGACGAAAAAUAACGAGACCGUUCUCUUAUGAGGCCGGUCAUCGGAAUGGGUACAAUUUAAA
This 459-nucleotide ribosomal RNA is filed under the name unidentified nematode Sourhope farm. RNAcentral's name for it is "SSU rRNA". It matches the Rfam family "Eukaryotic small subunit ribosomal RNA", at positions 73 to 529 of the family's 1831-position model. The record is from RNAcentral. Lineage: Eukaryota; Metazoa; Nematoda.